Molecule: long non-coding RNA, 674 nt
Organism: Lates calcarifer (barramundi perch)
Lineage: Eukaryota; Metazoa; Chordata; Actinopteri; Centropomidae
Exons: 3
Source: RefSeq, a predicted model, not a curated record
AGUUUUGAAAAUUACAAUAAGCAAAAAGCACAACAUUCCAGUAGAAGUGUGAAGUACCUUGAAAUUAAAAUACUCAAGUAAAGAACAGGCACCUUAAAAUUGCACAUAAGUACAGUACUUGUAAAUGUACUUAAUUACUUUCCAGUACUACCCACACUGUGGCCUAUUAGUGGCUGGUAUUCCCCGUGUUAUAGAAUUCCCCUCUUCAGCUACCAGCAGUCAGUGGGACGUUCUGUUGCUAUAGUAUUCGGAUUAUAACGUUCUGUUGCUUUAGCAUUAAGAAUAUAACGCUCUGUUGUUAUAGCAUUCUAGACUAUGACGUAUUGUUGCUCUAGCAACUUCUACUGGUACAGCUCUUACACAUUUUAACUGACAUUGUUGAAUCCACCAUUUUGUCAGCUCUGUGGAUGUGUAUUUUUACUCACGACCUUUUUGGAGUAAUAUCGCAGGUUUCCUCUCUUCAGCUCCAGCAGAUCCUCAUCAAUGGCCAGGAGCCUCGGCGGUGCUGACUGAGGCAACAGCUGCUGUUUCAGACCUGCAGAGGAAAAAACACAAUCCACUGAGUCCUGCAGCUACAUCAGCACAGCCAGUGGAAGUUCUUGUCGCUACGGAUACGAAUUUCCUUCAUCUUACUUUUGGUGACGUACGAACCGUCAGCAUUGAAGUCACCCAGG